RNAcentral lists this ribosomal RNA (297 nucleotides) under uncultured bacterium. RNAcentral describes it as "partial 16S ribosomal RNA". It matches the Rfam family "Bacterial small subunit ribosomal RNA", at positions 335 to 618 of the family's 1533-position model. The record is from RNAcentral.
ACUCCUACGGGAGGCAGCAGUGGGAAUAUUGCACAAUGGGAAGCCAUCGAUGCAGCCAUGCCGCGCUGUGUGAAGAAGGCCAAUUCGGGCUUGGUUAAAGACACUUUCAGCGAGGAGGAAAGGGUGUGUGCUAAUACCAUACAUCUGUGACGUUACUCGCAGAAGAAGCACCGGCUAACUCCGUGCCAGCAGCCGCGGUAAUACGGAGGGUGCGAGCGUUAAUCGGAAUUACUGGGCGUAAAGCGCAUGCAGGUGGUUUGUUAAGUCAGAUGUGAAAGCCCGGGGCUCAAGCCUCGG